GUCCUAAUCACUGGUCUUCAUUAAUUAUGAUUUCAUAACAAUUAGCUUGUGAUUUCUCUGUCUUAAAAAUGUUAUUUCUCAGGAAUUUCCCUAUAUAAGAGUUGUUGAAAGGGAAUCUUCCUGAAGUUUAGGUAAUAGAUAGAACUUGUCAUUUGUUUGGGCUUUUGAAGUUCAGAAUGACUGAAGCUUCAGCUGCCCAGGCUCCACAGGAACUGGAGGGACUUUUGAUAGUGAAGGUAGAAGAGGAAGAUCGUGCCUGGGGAAAGGAAUCUGACCCCCCUGGUAACAAAGCCUAUAUCCAAGAGAUCUCCCACUUUAGACAUUUCUGCUACCAGGAGACAGGAGGUCCAAGGGAUGCUCUGAACCGACUCCAGAACUGUGUCAUCGGUGGCUGAGGCUCGAGGUACACACAAAGGAACAGAUCCUGGAGCUCCUGGUGUUGGAGCAGUUUCUGACUAUCCUGCCUGAUUCACUGCAGACCUGGGUCCGCGAUCAUCAUCCAGAGAGUGGAGAAGAAGCUGUGAUGUUGCUGGAGGAUUUAGAGAGAAACCUUGAUGAGCCAGGAAAACAGGUCCAAGCCUGUGCACGGGGACAUGAAGUGCUUUUGGAGAAGAUGACAUCUGUAGGAGUAUUAGAUGAUUUACAGAAGGCCCAGUUCCAUCUGGUGGAGACCCAGACUCCACGUGAAAGAGUUUCAGAUGGUACCAGAUGCAGUUCCACAAAGUUGUCUCCAAAGCAAGAAUUUUUGAAAGAAGUGGAACCACAUGAAAAGAUAACUUAUAAAUUUAAUGGAGAAAUUCCACAGGCUUCUAAAGAUGGAGAAGCAUGUGAACAAGGUGUCAGGUAAACAUGGUGAAUCAGAAAGUAAUUUCAUCCAGAACUCAGUCGUUAUUGAAAGUCAAAGGCAUCAAAUAGGGGAGAAAGCCUG
RNAcentral lists this long non-coding RNA (928 nucleotides) under Vombatus ursinus (common wombat). RNAcentral's name for it is "lncRNA (ENSVURG00010004311.1)". Lineage: Eukaryota; Metazoa; Chordata; Mammalia; Diprotodontia; Vombatidae. The record is from RNAcentral.